This 277-nucleotide long non-coding RNA is filed under the name Bos taurus (domestic cattle). RNAcentral describes it as "long non-coding RNA NONBTAT016525". The record is from RNAcentral. Lineage: Eukaryota; Metazoa; Chordata; Mammalia; Artiodactyla; Bovidae.
UGAGUGUUUUUUUAGGCCAAAUAAUUUCUAGAAUUCCAUUUUACAGAAUAUGUGCACUAAUGUAGAUAAUUUGUUCAAAGAUGUUGACUAAAACAUGUUUUAAUAGUAGUCUGAUUCAUAAUACAAAUGACCAUUAAAAGGGAACAAGCUGCAUAAAUCUUUAUUCAGUAGGAAGUGUGCAAACAUCCUUAAAGGAAGCUAGGCUGUAAAGGGAAAGAAAGAGGUCCACAGCCAGAGGGAAGCCAUAGGAGGAAGUAUGUACCAUGAACAACUUUUC